Long non-coding RNA from Culex quinquefasciatus (southern house mosquito), 664 nucleotides. RefSeq lists it as uncharacterized. The transcript has 2 exons. Lineage: Eukaryota; Metazoa; Arthropoda; Insecta; Diptera; Culicidae. The record is from RefSeq and is a predicted model, not a curated record.
UUGCCCCACUGUGCUGAACUAUUCAAAGUGAUGAGGAAAACACUUGAAAUUGAUCUUGUUUUGAUUUGAAAUGCAGUUUAAUGACAGCUUCGGCAGACUUUGCUUCGUUUCUUCAUUUGUGUUUUGGCGGUCCGGUGUGUUCGUUUUUCGCAGGCUUGAAUGACCGCGUGAGUUUGCUGCCGCCAUGUUCCUGUCCAGUAAAUUGCUUGCCCGGUUUGUGGCCGCGAAGACGAGCAUCGUCACAAGGCUGUGUCCGUAUGGCCAGCGGAAGGGCUCGGUCUCCCGGACCCGGAAAGAGGCCAACUUUGGCGAUAGAGGUGCUUUCCGCAGAUUCACCCACUUGGAAGGAUGCGAUUGAGCUGCAGAUGCCGUACCAGGAAGCGUUUGAUGAAAUAAAGGAAAACACCCGCCUGGUGCUGGAGAAUCGGUGAGAAGCUGGAUUCGAAUGCAUUCCACCCAGGGGCCAAGCAAUGCGUCAUUCAGAUGGUCAAGGCACAGUUUGAUUAGAUGGAACCGACCGCGGUUCCGAAUCAACAAGAAGAUUCCCCGGGGGCCUCCAUCUCCGCAGAAAGCGGUGGUGGCGAACAACCCGAACCUGACCAGGAGGACGAUCCUGAGAGCAGGGACAACCGGAAGAAGAGACAAUUCAACAACAAAAAAAAAA